AGAAAAUACAUCAACAUGCCAAAUAGAGCUGCGGGCUACAUGCUUUUUCCCUUUAAAAUCAUUUUUUUUGGGUGCUUUUGCAACCUCUUCAGCCCAAUUCACAACACCAAAUAGUAAAAAAAAAAAACAAUACUCAAGUUCAAAAAAAAUAAUAAAAGAUACUAAUUCCCCUUGGACUUCAAUACUUUCUCAGUAAAAAAGAGAAACAAUUAAAGUCUAGGAAAAAUCUUGUUUUUGUGGUUGUAUAUAAUACUAAAGUAAUUCUGUUUUUUUGGGUUGGGUCAGUUGAAAUGGGUUUAUGGAUCUAAACCCGGAAAUUCUUGCCUUCAAAAGUUUGUCCAAACUGCCAAUUAGAGGGUGCCACGUUGACAUUCGUGACACUACGAUGAUCACUAGCUUUAACCCGAAUAGAAAGGGCUUGACCCACUAAAGGUGAAUUAGUUUGCCAAUUUUGCCCCCAAUUACGACUCAUUGCUAUCCAUUGUGUGUUUGUUCCUUUAAUUAAGACCUUCUGUAUAUCCCCCGCACCCGCAACGUUUGUUACCAAUAACAAAUUGAAGUAACGGAAACCGUUUAU
Molecule: unclassified non-coding RNA, 577 nt
Filed under: Hevea brasiliensis (rubber tree)
Lineage: Eukaryota; Viridiplantae; Streptophyta; Magnoliopsida; Malpighiales; Euphorbiaceae
Source: RNAcentral